CGUGGGUAACCUGCCCAAGAGAUCGGGAUAACACCUGGAAACAGAUGCUAAUACCGGAUAACAACAGAUGAUGCCUAUCAACUGUUUAAAAGAUGGUUCUGCUAUCACUCUUGGAUGGACCUGCGGUGCAUUAGCUAGUUGGUAGGGUAACGGCCUACCAAGGCGAUGAUGCAUAGCCGAGUUGAGAGACUGAUCGGCCACAUUGGACUGAGACACGGCCCAAACUCCUACGGGAGGCAGCAGAC
RNAcentral lists this ribosomal RNA (245 nucleotides) under uncultured Lactobacillus sp. RNAcentral describes it as "partial 16S ribosomal RNA". It matches the Rfam family "Bacterial small subunit ribosomal RNA", at positions 116 to 354 of the family's 1533-position model. Lineage: Bacteria; Bacillati; Bacillota; Bacilli; Lactobacillales; Lactobacillaceae. The record is from RNAcentral.